GGAUGCGAUCAUACCAGCACUAAUGCACCGGAUCCCAUCAGAACUCCGAAGUUAAGCGUGCUUGGCGAGAGUAGUACUAGGAUGGGUGACCCCCUGGAAGUCCUCGUGUUGCAUCCC
Ribosomal RNA from Ipomoea nil (Japanese morning glory), 117 nucleotides. Lineage: Eukaryota; Viridiplantae; Streptophyta; Magnoliopsida; Solanales; Convolvulaceae. The record is from Rfam.